RNAcentral lists this ribosomal RNA (232 nucleotides) under uncultured bacterium. Its description in RNAcentral is "partial 16S ribosomal RNA". It matches the Rfam family "Bacterial small subunit ribosomal RNA", at positions 99 to 334 of the family's 1533-position model. The record is from RNAcentral.
CGGACGGGUGAGUAAUGUCUGGGAAACUGCCUGAUGGCGGGGGAUAACUACUGGAAACGGUAGCUAAUACCGCAUAAUGUCUGCGGACCAAAGCGGGGGACCUCCGGGCCUCGCGCCAUCAGAUGAACCCAUAUGGGAUUAGCUUGUAGGUAAGGUAACGGCUUACCUAGGCGACGAUCCCUAGCUGGUCUGAGAGGAUGAUCAGCCACACUGGGACUGAGACACGGCCCAG